UACGUAGGGUGCAAGCGUUACUCGGAAUUACUGGGCGUAAAGCGUGCGCAGGCGGUUUUGUAAGUCUGUCGUGAAAUCCCCGGGCUCAACCUGGGAAUGGCGAUGGAGACUGCAAGGCUGGAAUCUGGCAGAGGGGGGUAGAAUUCCACGUGUAGCAGUGAAAUGCGUAGAUAUGUGGAGGAACACCGAUGGCGAAGGCAGCCCCCUGGGCUAAGAUUGACGCUCAUGCACGAAAGCGUGGGGAGCAAACAGG
Molecule: ribosomal RNA, 253 nt
Filed under: uncultured bacterium
Lineage: Bacteria
Description: partial 16S ribosomal RNA
Rfam family: Bacterial small subunit ribosomal RNA
Source: RNAcentral